This is a small nucleolar RNA of Chanos chanos (milkfish), 133 nucleotides long. RefSeq annotates it as small nucleolar RNA SNORA64/SNORA10 family. NCBI's taxonomy places the organism in Eukaryota, Metazoa, Chordata, Actinopteri, Gonorynchiformes, Chanidae. The transcript has a single exon. The record is from RefSeq and is a predicted model, not a curated record.
ACUCUCUCAGCUCUAGUCAGCUGUACCUUCUCAGUGGUGCAGGUGGUGUUAUUGGGAGGGAGAGAAAUGAGCACGGCAAUGCACGGCAGGGGUACCCUGUGGUAUCUCUGUUCCUUCCUUGGGCUCAACAGGC